This 84-nucleotide long non-coding RNA is filed under the name Pongo abelii (Sumatran orangutan). It matches the Rfam family "Deleted in lymphocytic leukemia 2 conserved region 5". The record is from RNAcentral. Lineage: Eukaryota; Metazoa; Chordata; Mammalia; Primates; Hominidae.
GUCAUGUUCCAAUGCAUUAUGUGAGUAUUCAGUCAAAGAAGUGAGGCCGUUCUGCAGAAUUGGUUCUCUGCUACAGGUCAAAAC